Eubacterium uniforme is the source of this 278-nucleotide non-coding RNA. NCBI's taxonomy places the organism in Bacteria, Bacillati, Bacillota, Clostridia, Eubacteriales, Eubacteriaceae. The record is from Rfam.
GAGAACUGCAUAACUGAAAUCUCAAAUGAGGGAGUAACGCCCCGAAGGGGAUUCGCUAAUACUUCGAAUAGCGUUGGAUUAAUACAGAAAUUCAAGGUUAUAAGCUCGGAGAAGUCGCGCGAAGCGCAUCCUAACGGAUAAAUAUCGACAUGAACUCAAAUACCCAUUGGUACAAAAGUGACCAGAGUCCACCUGUGGGAAGAGAGGAAUUUAGAUAUUGAGCCGAGGAAAGAUACUUGGAGGCAAGUGUUGUGCGUGACAGUGCGGGCGGGGUUUCC